Non-coding RNA from Trichobilharzia regenti, 46 nucleotides. The record is from Rfam. NCBI's taxonomy places the organism in Eukaryota, Metazoa, Platyhelminthes, Trematoda, Strigeidida, Schistosomatidae.
GUACUGCUGAAGAGUCUCAAACUAGGACGAAACAGCUGUCCGGUAC